Molecule: ribosomal RNA, 156 nt
Filed under: Pteris tremula
Lineage: Eukaryota; Viridiplantae; Streptophyta; Polypodiopsida; Polypodiales; Pteridaceae
Description: 5.8S ribosomal RNA
Rfam family: 5.8S ribosomal RNA
About the family: 5.8S ribosomal RNA (5.8S rRNA) is a component of the large subunit of the eukaryotic ribosome.
Source: RNAcentral
ACAACUUUUAACAAUGGAUCUCUUGGUUCUGGCAUCGAUGAAGAACGCAGCGAAAUGCGAUAAGUAGUGUGAAUUGCAGAAUUCAGUGAAUCAUCGAAUCUUUGAACGCACAUUGCGCCCCUCGGUAUUCCGUGGGGCAUGCCUGUUCGAGCGUCA